RNAcentral lists this ribosomal RNA (891 nucleotides) under Lecanora perpruinosa. RNAcentral describes it as "LSU rRNA". It matches the Rfam family "Eukaryotic large subunit ribosomal RNA", at positions 69 to 978 of the family's 3401-position model. Lineage: Eukaryota; Fungi; Ascomycota; Lecanoromycetes; Lecanorales; Lecanoraceae. The record is from RNAcentral.
CAGGGAUUGCCUCAGUAACGGCGAGUGAAGCGGCAAAAGCUCAAAUUUGAAAUCUGGCUCCCUCGGGGUCCGAGUUGUAAUUUGUAGAGGAGAUUUCGGGCGCGGCGCCGGUCUAAGUCCCUUGGAACAGGGCGUCACAGAGGGUGAGAAUCCCGUAUGUGACCGGUGACCAACCCCAUGUGAAACUCCUUCGACGAGUCGAGUUGUUUGGGAAUGCAGCUCAAAACGGGAGGUAAAUUUCUUCUAAAGCUAAAUACCGGCCAGAGACCGAUAGCGCACAAGUAGAGUGAUCGAAAGAUGAAAAGCACUUUGGAAAGAGAGUCAAACAGUACGUGAAAUUGUUGAAAGGGAAGCGCUUGCAACCAGACCUGUCCGUGGGCGAUCAACCUCUGUUCUCAGGGGUGCACUCGUCCACGAUCAGGCCAGCAUCGGUUCGGGCGGCCGGAUAAAGGCCUUGGGAAUGUGGCUCCCCUCGGGGAGUGUUAUAGCCCUCGGUGCAAUGCGGCCAGCCCGGACCGAGGACCGCGCUUCGGCUAGGAUGCUGGCGUAAUGGUUGUAAGCGACCCGUCUUGAAACACGGACCAAGGAGUUGACUAUCGAUGCGAGUGUUUGGGUGUCAAACCCAUACGCGCAAUGAAAGUGAACGGAGGUGAGAACCCUUAAGGGCGCAUCAUCGACCGAUCCAGAUGUCUUCGGAUGGAUUUGAGUACGAGCAUCGCUAGUCUGACCCGAAAGAUGGUGAUCUAUACUUGAAUAGGGUGAAGCCAGAGGAAACUCUGGUGGAGGCUCGCAGCGGUUCUGACGUGCAAAUCGAUCGUCAAAUUUGAGUAUAGGGGCGAAAGACUAAUCGAACCAUCUAGUAGCUGGUUCCUGCCGAAGUUUCCCUCAGGA